GACGAACGCUGGCGGCGCGCCUAACACAUGCAAGUCGAACGGAGCUUAGAGAGCUUGCUUUUUAAGCUUAGUGGCGAACGGGUGAGUAACGCGUGAGUAACCUGCCCUAGAGUGGGGGACAACAGUUGGAAACGACUGCUAAUACCGCAUAAGCCCACGGUACCGCAUGGUACUGAGGGAAAAGGAUUUAUUCGCUUUAGGAUGGACUCGCGUCCAAUUAGCUAGUUGGUGAGGUAACGGCCCACCAAGGCGACGAUUGGUAGCCGGACUGAGAGGUUGAACGGCCACAUUGGGACUGAGACACGGCCCAGACUCCUACGGGAGGCAGCAGUGGGGGAUAUUGCACAAUGGGGGAAACCCUGAUGCAGCGACGCCGCGUGGAGGAAGAAGGUUUUCGGAUUGUAAACUCCUGUCGUUAGGGACGAUAAUGACGGUACCUAACAAGAAAGCACCGGCUAACUACGUGCCAGCAGCCGCGGUAAAACGUAGGGUGCAAGCGUUGUCCGGAAUUACUGGGUGUAAAGGGAGCGCAGGCGGGAAGACAAGUUGGAAGUGAAAACCAUGGGCUCAACCCAUGAAUUGCUUUCAAAACUGUUUUUCUUGAGUAGUGCAGAGGUAGAUGGAAUUCCCGGUGUAGCGGUGGAAUGCGUAGAUAUCGGGAGGAACACCAGUGGCGAAGGCGGUCUACUGGGCACCAACUGACGCUGAGGCUCGAAAGCAUGGGUAGCAAACAGGAUUAGAUACCCUGGUAGUCCAUGCCGUAAACGA
RNAcentral lists this ribosomal RNA (768 nucleotides) under uncultured bacterium. RNAcentral's name for it is "bacterial SSU rRNA". It matches the Rfam family "Bacterial small subunit ribosomal RNA", at positions 28 to 809 of the family's 1533-position model. The record is from RNAcentral.